Long non-coding RNA from Drosophila sechellia, 471 nucleotides. RefSeq lists it as uncharacterized. The record is from RefSeq and is a predicted model, not a curated record. NCBI's taxonomy places the organism in Eukaryota, Metazoa, Arthropoda, Insecta, Diptera, Drosophilidae. The transcript is spliced from 2 exons.
GUUAUCGGAAGAUAAUUGGGCAUAAGAUACUGAGGAAAAUGAUGCAAUUUGGGGACGGAUUUUGAAGCUUUUAAAAGUGAUGUCAGCUCCGCGCUAGUGAUCCUUAUUAAUGCAGUGGCAUCAGGAAGUGGAGACGGCGUCUUAGGAUUUUUAAUUUUUUGUGUUUAUAAUCGCGAAAAUUGGCGAUUUCGUUUUGUUUUUGCGAAGCCCGCCUCCUCCUGUCGGUUGCGUUAGAUGUUGAUCAGCAGUUGGCUGUGGUCAAGUAGGUUUUAGCGUCAGUUCUUGUAGGCGCUCGUCAGUCUGAGUUUUGAGAGAGUAUGGAGGCAGAUAGAAGUGCGCUUUUCCAUCAGAUAAAGAUGUCGUUUUACUAGAUAUAAGUAUUUGUAAGUUUAAUUGGAUGUAUCCAUGUCAAGAUUGUUGUCUCUUCCUUGAGUAAUUAUUGCCAAUAAAAUGUCGAUUUUCUUUUCUAAA